RNAcentral lists this ribosomal RNA (460 nucleotides) under uncultured bacterium. RNAcentral's name for it is "partial 16S ribosomal RNA". It matches the Rfam family "Bacterial small subunit ribosomal RNA", at positions 338 to 795 of the family's 1533-position model. The record is from RNAcentral.
CCUACGGGAGACUGCAGUGAGGAAUAUUGGUCAAUGGGCGCGAGCCUGAACCAGCCAAGUCGCGUGAGGGAUGAAGGUUCUAUGGAUCGUAAACCUCGUUUAUAAGGGAAUAAAGUGUGGGACGUGUCCUAUGAUGUAUGUACCUUAUGUAUAAAGAUCGGCUAACUACGUUCCAGCAGCCGCGGUAAUACGGAGGAUCCGAGCGUUGUCCUGUUUUAUUGGGUUUAAAGGGUGCGUAGGCGGGCUUUUAAGUCAGCGGUGAAAGUCUGUGGCUCAACCAUAGAAGUGCCGUUGAAACUGGGGGGCUUGAGUGUGUUAGAGGCAGGCGGAAUGCGAGGUGUAGCGGUGAAAUGCUUAGAUAUCACGCAGAACACCGAUUGCGAAGGCAGCCUGCCAGGCCAUGACUGACGCUGAUGCACGAAAGCGUGGGGAUCAAACAGGAUUAGAUACCCUGGUAGUC